This 253-nucleotide ribosomal RNA is filed under the name uncultured bacterium. RNAcentral's name for it is "partial 16S ribosomal RNA". It matches the Rfam family "Bacterial small subunit ribosomal RNA", at positions 524 to 776 of the family's 1533-position model. The record is from RNAcentral.
UACGAAGGGGGCGAGCGUUGUUCGGAUUUACUGGGCGUAAAGGGCGCGCAGGCGGCUCAUUUUGUCAGGCGUGAAAGCCCCGGGCUUAACCUGGGAACUGCGUUUGAUACGGAUGGGCUAGAGUUCGGGAGAGGAGAGUGGAAUUCCCAGUGUAGAGGUGAAAUUCGUAGAUAUCUGGAGGAACACCGGUGGCGAAGGCGGCAUCCUGGACCAACACUGACGCUGAGGAGCGAAAGCCAGGGGAGCAAACGGG